Molecule: long non-coding RNA, 779 nt
Organism: Capsicum annuum
Lineage: Eukaryota; Viridiplantae; Streptophyta; Magnoliopsida; Solanales; Solanaceae
Exons: 2
Source: RefSeq, a predicted model, not a curated record
UCUCCUAAAUGUUGACUCGAGGACAUCUAACUCGCAUACUUUAAAAAAAAAAAUUAUACACAAGCAUUUUGUAUCCAAUGCCUCUUCUAUUUUUUUUUUUGUUAAAUAACUAUUUGUGGCUUUUCAGCCAUUUUACUAAUAAUCAGCUAAACAAAAUCAAGAGAUCCGCCCAACCGCCCAUAAAGAAAAAAUACGAAAAAAUGUUGUGCAAGCCCAUUUUUUAAAUUCUGACCCAAGUAUAAAAAUGAAAAGGGAACCCUCUUUCCUUUCCAAUCCUUCUUUUUUCUUUUUUUAUUUUCUUUCUUCCACUGUUCCACCUUCUUAUCAUUCAUGUUGACGUUGCAAUCAAUGGAUUUAGAGUUAUUGGAUGUUGUAGCCAGAAAUCGAGAAGGAUUUUUGUUCACAAAUUCCAUGGAGAACUACUUCGGAGAAAUUUGAAACGGAAAGGAAAUAUACGGAAAGCUACGUUGAUCGGAAGAGGAGAAGUGUCGGAAAAUGGAUAACUCCAGUAGUGCGAAAUUACUACGAAAUGACAGCGAUGUCCUUUAGAUUGGGGUUUUGUGGUAAUGAAAUUGUGGUGAAAUGACACUAAUACCCUUUAGUAAGCUGGCAGAACAACGGGGUUCUGCCUGCUUCAAGGCACUUAUCAUGAUUGUUGGUUGCUUGUUUUUCUUCAAUUUGUCCAUCUGGGGUUCCUUUUUUUUGCUUGAAUUUUGCUUGUAGCAAUAUUUUGAUGACUGUUUUUGUUGAAUCUUGAUUGUUGUGGGCUUGGUUUUCCU